This 253-nucleotide ribosomal RNA is filed under the name uncultured bacterium. RNAcentral's name for it is "partial 16S ribosomal RNA". It matches the Rfam family "Bacterial small subunit ribosomal RNA", at positions 524 to 776 of the family's 1533-position model. The record is from RNAcentral.
UACGUAGGAUGCAAGCGUUGUCCGGAUUUAUUGGGUUAAAAGGUUGCGUAGGCGGCCUAUUAAGUUAGUGGUGAAAACGUUCGGCUUAACCGGAUCCCCGCCAUUGAUACUGAUAGACUUGAGUGCGACAGAGGGUGUUGGAAUGUGUGGUGUAGCGGUGAAAUGCUUAGAUAUCACGCAGAACACCAAUUGCGAAGGCAGAUGCCUAUGUCGUAACUGACGCUGAGGCACGAAAGCGUGGGGAGCAAACAGG